GAGUUUGAUCCUGGCUCAGGAUGAACGCUAGCUACAGGCUUAACACAUGCAAGUCGAGGGGCAGCAUGAACUUAGCUUGCUAAGUUUGAUGGCGACCGGCGCACGGGUGAGUAACACGUAUCCAACCUGCCGAUGACUCGGGGAUAGCCUUUCGAAAGAAAGAUUAAUACCCGAUGGCAUAGUUCUUCCGCAUGGUAGAACUAUUAAAGAACUUCGGUCAUCGAUGGGGAUGCGUUCCAUUAGGUUGUUGGCGGGGUAACGGCCCACCAAGCCUUCGAUGGAUAGGGGUUCUGAGAGGAAGGCCCCCCACAUUGGAACUGAGACACGGUCCAAACUCCUACGGGAGGCAGCAGUGAGGAAUAUUGGUCAAUGGACGAGAGUCUGAACCAGCCAAGUAGCGUGAAGGAUGACUGCCCUAUGGGUUGUAAACUUCUUUUAUACGGGAAUAAAGUGAGGCACGUGUGCCUUUUUGUAUGUACCGU
RNAcentral lists this ribosomal RNA (482 nucleotides) under uncultured bacterium. RNAcentral describes it as "bacterial SSU rRNA". It matches the Rfam family "Bacterial small subunit ribosomal RNA", at positions 9 to 481 of the family's 1533-position model. The record is from RNAcentral.